UACGUAGGGGGCAAGCGUUAUCCGGAACUAUUGGGCGUAAAGGGUGCGUAGGCGGCAAAGUAAGUCUGAGGUGAAAGUUCGGGGCUCAACCCCGUGAUGCCUUGGAAACUGCUUAGCUAGAGUGUGGUAGAGGCAAGUGGAACUCCAUGUGUGGCGGUAAAAUGUGUAAAUAUAUGGAAGAACACCAGUGGCGAAGGCGGCUUGCUGGGCCAAGACUGACGCUGAGGCACGAAAGCGUGGGGAGCAAACA
Molecule: ribosomal RNA, 250 nt
Filed under: uncultured prokaryote
Description: partial 16S ribosomal RNA
Rfam family: Bacterial small subunit ribosomal RNA
Source: RNAcentral